GCCAGGGUCGCAUAAUCCGGUAUUGCGCAAGCCUGGAAAGCUUGUCCCUUUGGGAUUCUGGGUUCAAAUCCCAGCUCUGGCG
RNAcentral lists this transfer RNA (82 nucleotides) under archaeon. Its description in RNAcentral is "tRNA-Ser". It matches the Rfam family "tRNA". From Rfam's summary of the family: Transfer RNA (tRNA) molecules are approximately 80 nucleotides in length. Their secondary structure includes four short double-helical elements and three loops (D, anti-codon, and T loops). The record is from RNAcentral. RNAcentral also lists the same sequence under 1 other name.